RNAcentral lists this ribosomal RNA (2648 nucleotides) under Klebsiella quasipneumoniae subsp. similipneumoniae. Its description in RNAcentral is "bacterial LSU rRNA". It matches the Rfam family "Bacterial large subunit ribosomal RNA". Lineage: Bacteria; Pseudomonadati; Pseudomonadota; Gammaproteobacteria; Enterobacterales; Enterobacteriaceae. The record is from RNAcentral.
GUUAACGAGGCGAACCGGGGGAACUGAAACAUCUAAGUACCCCGAGGAAAAGAAAUCAACCGAGAUUCCCCCAGUAGCGGCGAGCGAACGGGGAGCAGCCCAGAGUCUGAAUCAGCUUGUGUGUUAGUGGAACGGUCUGGAAAGUCCGACGGUACAGGGUGAUAGUCCCGUACACCAAAAUGCACAGGCUGUGAACUCGAAGAGUAGGGCGGGACACGUGGUAUCCUGUCUGAAUAUGGGGGGACCAUCCUCCAAGGCUAAAUACUCCUGACUGACCGAUAGUGAACCAGUACCGUGAGGGAAAGGCGAAAAGAACCCCGGCGAGGGGAGUGAAAAAGAACCUGAAACCGUGUACGUACAAGCAGUGGGAGCACCUUUAGGUGUGACUGCGUACCUUUUGUAUAAUGGGUCAGCGACUUAUAUUCUGUAGCAAGGUUAACCGUAUAGGGGAGCCGCAGGGAAACCGAGUCUUAACUGGGCGUUAAGUUGCAGGGUAUAGACCCGAAACCCGGUGAUCUAGCCAUGGGCAGGUUGAAGGUUGGGUAACACUAACUGGAGGACCGAACCGACUAAUGUUGAAAAAUUAGCGGAUGACUUGUGGCUGGGGGUGAAAGGCCAAUCAAACCGGGAGAUAGCUGGUUCUCCCCGAAAGCUAUUUAGGUAGCGCCUCGUGAACUCAUCUUCGGGGGUAGAGCACUGUUUCGGCUAGGGGGUCAUCCCGACUUACCAACCCGAUGCAAACUACGAAUACCGAAGAAUGUUAUCACGGGAGACACACGGCGGGUGCUAACGUCCGUCGUGAAGAGGGAAACAACCCAGACCGCCAGCUAAGGUCCCAAAGUCAUGGUUAAGUGGGAAACGAUGUGGGAAGGCACAGACAGCCAGGAUGUUGGCUUAGAAGCAGCCAUCAUUUAAAGAAAGCGUAAUAGCUCACUGGUCGAGUCGGCCUGCGCGGAAGAUGUAACGGGGCUAAACCAUGCACCGAAGCUGCGGCAGCGACACUAUGUGUUGUUGGGUAGGGGAGCGUUCUGUAAGCCUGCGAAGGUGACCUGUGAGGGUUGCUGGAGGUAUCAGAAGUGCGAAUGCUGACAUAAGUAACGAUAAAGCGGGUGAAAAGCCCGCUCGCCGGAAGACCAAGGGUUCCUGUCCAACGUUAAUCGGGGCAGGGUGAGUCGACCCCUAAGGCGAGGCCGAAAGGCGUAGUCGAUGGGAAACAGGUUAAUAUUCCUGUACUUGGUGUUACUGCGAAGGGGGGACGGAGAAGGCUAUGUUAGCCGGGCGACGGUUGUCCCGGUUUAAGCAUGUAGGCUGGUUAUCCAGGCAAAUCCGGAUAAUCAAGGCUGAGGUGUGAUGACGAGGCACUACGGUGCUGAAGUAACAAAUGCCCUGCUUCCAGGAAAAGCCUCUAAGCAUCAGGUAACAUCAAAUCGUACCCCAAACCGACACAGGUGGUCAGGUAGAGAAUACCAAGGCGCUUGAGAGAACUCGGGUGAAGGAACUAGGCAAAAUGGUGCCGUAACUUCGGGAGAAGGCACGCUGGUGUGUAGGUGAAGCCCCUGCGGGUGGAGCUGAGACCAGUCGAAGAUACCAGCUGGCUGCAACUGUUUAUUAAAAACACAGCACUGUGCAAACACGAAAGUGGACGUAUACGGUGUGACGCCUGCCCGGUGCCGGAAGGUUAAUUGAUGGGGUUAUCCGUAAGGAGAAGCUCUUGAUCGAAGCCCCGGUAAACGGCGGCCGUAACUAUAACGGUCCUAAGGUAGCGAAAUUCCUUGUCGGGUAAGUUCCGACCUGCACGAAUGGCGUAAUGAUGGCCAGGCUGUCUCCACCCGAGACUCAGUGAAAUUGAACUCGCUGUGAAGAUGCAGUGUACCCGCGGCAAGACGGAAAGACCCCGUGAACCUUUACUAUAGCUUGACACUGAACAUUGAGCCUUGAUGUGUAGGAUAGGUGGGAGGCUUUGAAGCGUGGACGCCAGUCUGCGUGGAGCCAACCUUGAAAUACCACCCUUUAAUGUUUGAUGUUCUAACGUUGGCCCCUUAUCGGGGUUGCGGACAGUGUCUGGUGGGUAGUUUGACUGGGGCGGUCUCCUCCCAAAGCGUAACGGAGGAGCACGAAGGUUAGCUAAUCCUGGUCGGACAUCAGGAGGUUAGUGCAAUGGCAUAAGCUAGCUUGACUGCGAGCGUGACGGCGCGAGCAGGUGCGAAAGCAGGUCAUAGUGAUCCGGUGGUUCUGAAUGGAAGGGCCAUCGCUCAACGGAUAAAAGGUACUCCGGGGAUAACAGGCUGAUACCGCCCAAGAGUUCAUAUCGACGGCGGUGUUUGGCACCUCGAUGUCGGCUCAUCACAUCCUGGGGCUGAAGUAGGUCCCAAGGGUAUGGCUGUUCGCCAUUUAAAGUGGUACGCGAGCUGGGUUUAGAACGUCGUGAGACAGUUCGGUCCCUAUCUGCCGUGGGCGCUGGAGAAUUGAGGGGGGCUGCUCCUAGUACGAGAGGACCGGAGUGGACGCAUCACUGGUGUUCGGGUUGUCAUGCCAAUGGCACUGCCCGGUAGCUAAAUGCGGAAGAGAUAAGUGCUGAAAGCAUCUAAGCACGAAACUUGCCCCGAGAUGAGUUCUCCCUGAGACUUUAAGUCUCCUGAAGGAACGUU